CUUUUGAGGUGAAUCUACUCAUCUACAUUUUGAUAUUGAAUGUGAUAUUUUGUAACAUGUAUAAUUUUACAUUUUUUCACCAAAAAAAAAAAAACAAGGUAAACUUCUUAAUUCAAGUUUAAACAAACUUUCUUGUAAUAACUAAUAUAUAUUCAUCCGUUUCCUACAAACUAAAGUUAGCUGGUGAGGAAUGAGGAUCAUUGUAUAUAUAUCUUGUUCUUUGAUCUUAUAUUUCUAAAAUACUCAUCAUGAAUGAAAAUGAGAUUAUAUAUACGACUAGGGUUUAAUCAGGGAUUACAACUUACAAUUCAAAUUAACUGUCUUGUGUUUCAUUUCUUGCACGCACUUAUGUAUGGGGGCCGGGAUCCCAGCUGGGACUCUGUCUGCUUCUUCAUCGAGCUGGAGCUAGCUGGUGUUGACAUUCGCAGUAAACCAUGAACAGAUUAGAACAACCGGAGAAGUUUUACGUGGAACACCUAUAGAUCAUACAUAUUCACUUCAAAGCCCCGGCCGGCGGCGAGUGGCCUGGCCGCCACUUUAGCUAACUUACAUGAGAGGCUGAUCCGAUGAUACUUUAGCCAACUUCAUUUUGCAACACGCACUGAUCGAAUAGUAAUAAGAAAAAUGCAGCGAUUAAUGCUUGUUAGUUUGGUGGGUUACAUAAUUGAAUGGAAACAUAAAAAAGUCAAAGUUUGAUCUAUAUUUGGAAGUCAAUGAGCUAGCUAAAGCUCUUUGCAUUAUUAGAAAGGGUAGUGCUAUAGGGCCUUAAUAAGGCUUAAGAUUUAUGAUUUUAAUCUUAUGUGGCAUGUCAUGUCACAUAGACACAUCAUCAAUUUAAUAAAUCAUGUCAUUUUAUUCUUAGGUAAUACAAUCUUAACCUUAAUAAUUAAUAGAUGCGCUACGUACAUACUAAUAUGGAAUAUUUUCUUACCUAUUUAAUCUGGAUGCGUAUAUACCAAAUUUAAUUAAUUUAUUUAUAAUAAUGACCAAGUUAAUAAUCAUACCAAAUUAGGCUUUUAUACCAUAAAUCAAUUUCAUAAAUUUAUGAAAAUUU
This 1054-nucleotide long non-coding RNA is filed under the name Fragaria vesca (wild strawberry). RNAcentral describes it as "long non-coding RNA (FVES_LNC005350)". Lineage: Eukaryota; Viridiplantae; Streptophyta; Magnoliopsida; Rosales; Rosaceae. The record is from RNAcentral.